UACGGGGGGAGCAAGCGUUGUUCGGAUUUACUGGGCGUAAAGGGCGCGUAGGCGGCGCAACAAGUCACUUGUGAAAUCUCCGGGCUUAACUCGGAGCGGCCAAGUGAUACUGUCGUGCUAGAGUGCGGAAGGGGCUACUGGAAUUCUCGGUGUAGCGGUGAAAUGCGUAGAUAUCGAGAGGAACACCUGCGGCGAAGGCGGGUAGCUGGGCCGACACUGACGCUGAGGCGCGAAAGCCAGGGGAGCGUACGGG
Molecule: ribosomal RNA, 253 nt
Filed under: uncultured bacterium
Lineage: Bacteria
Description: partial 16S ribosomal RNA
Rfam family: Bacterial small subunit ribosomal RNA
Source: RNAcentral